GCUGCUGUAGCUCAGUGGUAGAGCACGUCAUUGGUAAUGACGGGGUCGGAGUUUCGAUUACUCUCAGCAGCACCA
Molecule: transfer RNA, 75 nt
Filed under: Alphaproteobacteria bacterium
Lineage: Bacteria; Pseudomonadati; Pseudomonadota; Alphaproteobacteria
Description: tRNA-Thr
Rfam family: tRNA
About the family: Transfer RNA (tRNA) molecules are approximately 80 nucleotides in length. Their secondary structure includes four short double-helical elements and three loops (D, anti-codon, and T loops). Further hydrogen bonds mediate the characteristic L-shaped molecular structure. tRNAs have two regions of fundamental functional importance: the anti-codon, which is responsible for specific mRNA codon recognition, and the 3' end, to which the tRNAs corresponding amino acid is attached (by aminoacyl-tRNA synthetases). tRNAs cope with the degeneracy of the genetic code in two manners: having more than one tRNA (with a specific anti-codon) for a particular amino acid; and 'wobble' base-pairing, i.e. permitting non-standard base-pairing at the 3rd anti-codon position.
Source: RNAcentral